AGGCGUCGAGCGGCGGACGGGUGAGUAAUGCAUAGGAAUCUGCCCGGUAGUGGGGGAUAACUUGGGGAAACUCAAGCUAAUACCGCAUACGCCCUACGGGGGAAAGCAGGGGAUCUUCGGACCUUGCGCUAUCGGAUGAGCCUAUGUCGGAUUAGCUAGUUGGUGAGGUAAUGGCUCACCAAGGCCGCGAUCCGUAGCUGGUCUGAGAGGAUGAUCAGCCACACUGGGACUGAGACACGGCCCAGACUCCUACGGGAGGCAGCAGUGGGGAAUAUUGGACAAUGGGCGAAAGCCUGAUCCAGCCAUGCCGCGUGUGUGAAGAAGGCCUUCGGGUUGUAAAGCACUUUCAGCGAGGAAGAAGGCUUUCGGGCUAAUACCCCGGAAGAAGGACAUCACUCGCAGAAGAAGCACCGGCUAACUCCGUG
Molecule: ribosomal RNA, 425 nt
Filed under: marine sediment bacterium BB0608_AND_1.2_3S0
Lineage: Bacteria
Description: bacterial SSU rRNA
Rfam family: Bacterial small subunit ribosomal RNA
Source: RNAcentral